This 650-nucleotide ribosomal RNA is filed under the name Olea europaea subsp. europaea. RNAcentral's name for it is "Microsporidia small subunit ribosomal RNA". It matches the Rfam family "Eukaryotic small subunit ribosomal RNA", at positions 1248 to 1823 of the family's 1831-position model. The record is from Rfam by way of RNAcentral. Lineage: Eukaryota; Viridiplantae; Streptophyta; Magnoliopsida; Lamiales; Oleaceae.
GUAAAAAUCGAGCCAAAACAUAAGAAAAUUCAUAAGAAAACUCUCAAGGCAAGUGGGCAUCAUGUGGGAUUUUCUCUCUCUAACUCACUUUUACUGAGAGCUCUUUCGAGAUUCUAUGGGUGGUGGUGCAUGACCAUUCUUAGUUGGUGAAGCGAUUUGUCUGGUUAAUUUCGUUAACGAACGAGACCUCAGUCUGCUAACUAGCUGCCGAGGUAUCCCUUCAUGGCCAGCUUCUUAGAGGGACUAUAGUCUUUUAGGCUAUGGAAGUUUAAGGUAAUAACAGGUAUGUGAUGCCCUUAGAUGUUCUGGGCCACAAGCACACUACAUUGAUGUAUUCAAUGAGUUUAUAGCCUUGGCCGACAGGUCCGGGUAAUCUUUGAAAUUUCAUCGUGAUGGGGAUAGAUCAUUGUAAUUGUUGGUCUUCAACUAGGAAUUCCUAGUAAGCGUAAGUCAUCAGCUUAUGUUGACUACAUCCCUACCCUUUGUUGACAAUGCCCGUCACUCCUACUGAUUGAAUGUUCUAGUGAAGUGUUCAUAUCGCAUCGACAUGGGCAGUCUGUUUCCCUCGACGUCGUGAGAAGUCUACCGAAUCUUAUCAUUUAGAGAAAGGAGAAGUUGUAACAAGGUUUUCAUAGGUGAAUCUAUGGAAG